UAAUUGGUGAUUUUGAAGCAGGUAGUGG
Molecule: non-coding RNA, 28 nt
Filed under: Bombyx mori (domestic silkworm)
Lineage: Eukaryota; Metazoa; Arthropoda; Insecta; Lepidoptera; Bombycidae
Source: RNAcentral